This 493-nucleotide ribosomal RNA is filed under the name uncultured bacterium. Its description in RNAcentral is "bacterial SSU rRNA". It matches the Rfam family "Bacterial small subunit ribosomal RNA", at positions 28 to 517 of the family's 1533-position model. The record is from RNAcentral.
GAUGAACGCUAGCGGCAGGCCUAAUACAUGCAAGUCGAACGGCAGCGGGUGUAGCAAUACAUGCCGGCGAGUGGCGCACGGGUGCGUAACGCGUAUGCAACCUACCCUUAACUGGGGGAUAGCCCGGAGAAAUUCGGAUUAAUACCCCAUAACAUAGUGAAAUGGCAUCAUUUUACUAUUAAAGCUCCGGCGGUUAUGGAUGGGCAUGCGUGACAUUAGUUUGUUGGUGAGGUAACGGCUCACCAAGACUACGAUGUCUAGGGGUUCUGAGAGGAUGAUCCCCCANACUGGUACUGAGACACGGACCAGACUCCUACGGGAGGCAGCAGUGAGGAAUAUUGGUCAAUGGAGGCAACUCUGAACCAGCCAUCCCGCGUGAAGGAUGAAUGCCCUAGUGGUUGUAAACUUCUUUUAUAUAGGAAUAACCGUAGUACGUGUACUUACCUGAAGGUACUAUAUGAAUAAGCAUCGGCUAACUCCGUGCCAGCAGCCG